GAGUUUGAUCUUGGCUCAGAACGAACGCUGGCGGCGUGGAUAAGACAUGCAAGUCGAACGGGAGAAUUGCUAGCUUGCUAAUAAUUCUCUAGUGGCGCACGGGUGAGUAACACGUGAGUAACCUGCCCCCGAGAGCGGGAUAGCCCUGGGAAACUGGGAUUAAUACCGCAUAGUAUCGAAAGAUUAAAGCAGCAAUGCGCUUGGGGAUGGGCUCGCGGCCUAUUAGUUAGUUGGUGAGGUAACGGCUCACCAAGGCGAUGACGGGUAGCCGGUCUGGAGAGGAUGUCCGGCCACACUGGGAACUGAGACACGGUCCAGACACCUACGGGUGGCAGCAGUCGAGAAUCAUUCACAAUGGGGGAAACCCUGAUGGUGCGACGCCGCGU
This 386-nucleotide ribosomal RNA is filed under the name uncultured microorganism. RNAcentral describes it as "bacterial SSU rRNA". It matches the Rfam family "Bacterial small subunit ribosomal RNA", at positions 9 to 402 of the family's 1533-position model. The record is from RNAcentral.